GACGAACGCUGGCGGCGUGCUUAACACAUGCAAGUCGAACGGUAAGGCUCCAGCUUGCUGGGGUACACGAGUGGCGAACGGGUGAGUAACACGUGGGUGACCUGCCCUGCACUUCGGGAUAAGCCUGGGAAACUGGGUCUAAUACCGGAUAGGACCAUGGUGUGGAUACUGUGGUGGAAAGUUUUUUCGGUGUGGGAUGGGCCCGCGGCCUAUCAGCUUGUUGGUGGGGUAAUGGCCUACCAAGGCGGCGACGGGUAGCCGGCCUGAGAGGGUGGACGGCCACAUUGGGACUGAGACACGGCCCAGACUCCUACGGGAGGCAGCAGUGGGGAAUAUUGCACAAUGGGCGGAAGCCUGAUGCAGCGACGCCGCGUGGGGGAUGACGGCCCUCGGGUUGUAAACUCCUUUCACCAUCGACGAAGGGUUUCUGACGGUAGAUGGAGAAGAAGCACCGGCUAACUACGUG
This 466-nucleotide ribosomal RNA is filed under the name uncultured bacterium. RNAcentral's name for it is "partial 16S ribosomal RNA". It matches the Rfam family "Bacterial small subunit ribosomal RNA", at positions 28 to 507 of the family's 1533-position model. The record is from RNAcentral.